Molecule: long non-coding RNA, 2006 nt
Organism: Oncorhynchus kisutch (coho salmon)
Lineage: Eukaryota; Metazoa; Chordata; Actinopteri; Salmoniformes; Salmonidae
Exons: 4
Source: RefSeq, a predicted model, not a curated record
CUGCACAAUAAAUUGCAAUCCAAUGAAGGUGGCACUUGUUAGCUAGGUGGGUUAACACUAUACUGCCAAUACCCAUAUCGCAACAUUAGAGACAAUAGAGAAUGCUAGCUAUACAGUCGCAGCAAUGAAGAACGCGAAGGGGGAGAGAUUUUCGACACAACACCGGCAAAAGACAGCCCAACGUUACCUUGGUAUGGUUUGGUUGCAACUGUUCCCAUGGCCGUGGAGGGAGAUGGGGGGGAUAUCGUCAUGUGUUGCUGCCUAUGAGAUAGGAAGACUGAAUGUAAGUGGUUGGACUAGGCGUAAUCAAACGUUCUUGGCCCGUGACAACAGUGAUGGAUGGACCAGCCUGGAGACAUGGGAAACAGUACAGGUCCAUGCACACCAUUAGCACCUCGUAUUACUGCGUCUGAUCAUUCUUAGUGCAUUGCGUUUCCUUUUGACUUCAACCAGCCCAUAGAAUGGAUGCACAGAAUCAGUGAAUGUAAAUGUUCUGAAGAAUUUUAAAAACCUGUUCCAUCUGUCUGUCUGUCCCAUCCAUCCUCCAUAUCUUUACCAGUUGUUCACAUAUUCUACCAUUACUGCCAUGUCUCAUUGUUGCAUGUAGUUAGCUGUAAAGCAGUAUAUUUUAGUGUAAAGGAUGAAUUCUAUACACAGUUGGAACUCUUUCACUUCAAAUCAUGCAUUGAUUUGCGUAACAAUUAGAAUUUGGCAUGUAUUGACUUACACGAUAGAUGAUAGGUUCACAGGUGGUUGGUGGCACCUUAAUUGGGGCUCGUGGUAAUGACUGGAGGGAAUCAGUGGAAUGGUAUCAAAUACAUCAAACAUGGUUUCCAGGUGUUUGAUGCCAUUCCUUUUGUGCCGCUCUGGCCAUUAUUAUGAGCCGUUCUCCCCUCAGCAACCUCCAAUGAUAGGUAAAGCUAUUUAGAUAAUCGCAAUGUAAUUAUUUGGUAUCAGUUCAGUGUUUUCAUUGAAAAUAUAUAUUUUCUAUGUAAAUGUUUUAUUUUUUAAUCUGAUAAAGUGUAUUUACAAUGAUGUUGGAUUACUCUGAUUAUAUUUUUUACAAAGGUGUUAACCAGGACAGAGUUAAUCCGGAGCAUAUUCAUUGUGCCUUUUCUUCUUCACAUCCAUUGUGUACCUGAUAAUGAUGAGAUAAUGAAGAGCCCUUAAUGCUUCCUUUGGCAGGACAAGCUUCCUAUAAUCAAUAGCCAUUUAUCCUGGCAAUAACUGUCUUCUUUAUCUUCCUGCAGACUGCACACAUUAGGAACAGCCAAACACCUAUUGAACAUAAAUAUUCUCACUAUUCAAAUCAAAGGGCCUGAGGGAAUAUUGUCAAGCCCGUUGCUAGGACAACAGAUAGUGUGCAUCCCAAAUGGCUCCGAAGUCUCUAAAGUGCACUACUUAGUCAAAAGUACGGCUCUAUAUAAGGAAAAUGGUGCCAUUUUGGAUGCACCCAUAGUGUCGGAUGGUCUUUCAUGUGUUUCUUCUUCCUUAGCUGUUUGUGUUGACAAUAAGGAAAGCACAUCGUGCUUCACAUCAUUAUUGAAACUAUAAUUUCCAAACUAUUAGGGAUUUGUUAUCCAGGCACAUAAAGUCAAUGUUUCCCAGUCACCUCAUAAACUGUUGGGAAACACUAAGUCCGUCAUAGUAUACUCAUUGGUCUGCAUGGCGUUUACCGGUAACAACUUAGUAUACAAUAUAGUAUAUUGAAACAACCAUAGGCAAUCAUCUGCCACGAGAGACAGCUGGAAUGAGAUGUUUUCCUUAUUUACAAAGAAAGAAUACACACAGUGUUACAUGUUCUGAUUUAUCUCUUUAUAAAAAUGUUACAGUUGUAUACAGUUCCUCAAAUUUCUGAAAUCAAUUCAAAUUAGAUGCCCUUCAUUCAGUUAGCUAUUCAACAAAGCAGACAUGCUGAACCAAACCAUGAUGCUGCCACCACCAUGUUUGACAGUGGGGAUGGUGUGGUCAGGGUGAUGAGCUGUGUUGCUUUUACGCCAAACAUA